UACGUAGGGUGCAAGCGUUAAUCGGAAUUACUGGGCGUAAAGCGUGCGCAGGCGGUUGUGCAAGACAGAUGUGAAAUCCCCGGGCUCAACCUGGGAAUGGCGAUGGUGACUGCGAGGCUAGAGUUUGGCAGAGGGGGGUAGAAUUCCACGUGUAGCAGUGAAAUGCGUAGAUAUGUGGAGGAACACCGAUGGCGAAGGCAGCCCCCUGGGUCAAAACUGACGCUCAUGCACGAAAGCGUGGGGAGCAAACAGG
Molecule: ribosomal RNA, 253 nt
Filed under: uncultured bacterium
Lineage: Bacteria
Description: partial 16S ribosomal RNA
Rfam family: Bacterial small subunit ribosomal RNA
Source: RNAcentral